Long non-coding RNA from Pygocentrus nattereri (red-bellied piranha), 378 nucleotides. RefSeq lists it as uncharacterized. The transcript has 3 exons. NCBI's taxonomy places the organism in Eukaryota, Metazoa, Chordata, Actinopteri, Characiformes, Serrasalmidae. The record is from RefSeq and is a predicted model, not a curated record.
UGGGGGCUGGACGUCAUGCUGCCCAAAAAGCACAAAUCAGGUUAUCAAAAGAAGAAAGAAAGGAAGGAAAAAGAAAGAAUGCAGAAUGAGGGGAGGCAGCUGUUGACAGCUUUCUUUCCCAAAGCCAGUUUCAGAAACAAACAGUGGCGCUGGCGCAGCACCAGGAGCAGCAGUGGCCAGUCCUGACGGCUCUUCUGAAGAUGAGCCUGAGGUUAGAGAUAAACAAAGACAAGGGUCAUUUUACGGGAAAUCGGACACUUUGGAACUCAACCGACACGGAUUUUCAUCAAACUUUGUGUGCCUUUUUAGUGGCAAUGUAGAACCCCAGAACUGCAUUUGCAUGAAUCUGCCACUAAUAUAAAGGGAGAAAUGGACUAA